AUCCAGAUGCUGAUGAGACUCCAUACAAAUAUGACAUCGAAGACGCUAGAAGCCUCCCCAAGGCCAGAUGUACUGACUGAGGCAUCUGAGAUUGGGAGGAUGGGCUCCCUCUGUGGUUCUCAACCCCGCUGUGAUCAUCCAAGGAAUGGUGAAAAAAAAUCCUGAAGUGUGGGUUCAUCCUCUGGGGAGUCUUAUUCAGAAACCGAGCCUUGAAGAUACUAUCAACAUGCCUACGUUUACAGAGAAAGCAAUCCUGGAUUGUGGCUGACUCCAAAGUCAGCUUGCCAGCGUGCAGUUCAAGUGAAUAAAUCUAACUCUCUACAGAGGAAAUUCCAUUGGAAAUACAGCUUUCUCCCCGUAAAUUGAUUCUACUCAAGACUUCUACUCAAGACAGGCCUAGUGGUGCGUGCAUG
Molecule: long non-coding RNA, 413 nt
Organism: Myotis davidii
Lineage: Eukaryota; Metazoa; Chordata; Mammalia; Chiroptera; Vespertilionidae
Exons: 4
Source: RefSeq, a predicted model, not a curated record